AACGCAAAUCGCGCUCGAGGCCUCGGCCGAGAGCAUGCCUGCCUCAGCGUCUUUUUCCAAUCCUCCCCCGAUCGAGUGCUUGCACAUCGAGAGGGGGGAGCUGGUCGUUUCGAGCUCGGCCUCGAAUCGGCUGAAAGACAGAAGCGCCACCCGCCUCGCAAAGGGUGACCGAAAGGUGACAGCCUUCGGGCCGGUCCGAUCGGUGCCCGAGGCCGGGUGAGUGCUCUCGACCGGAGAACCACUUUAACUUUUGACCUGAGUUCAGGCAAGGCUACCCGCUGAACUUAA
Molecule: unclassified non-coding RNA, 288 nt
Filed under: uncultured fungus
Lineage: Eukaryota; Fungi
Description: partial contains 5.8S ribosomal RNA, internal transcribed spacer 2, and large subunit ribosomal RNA
Source: RNAcentral